This is a small nuclear RNA of Bubalus bubalis (water buffalo), 106 nucleotides long. The record is from RefSeq and is a predicted model, not a curated record. Lineage: Eukaryota; Metazoa; Chordata; Mammalia; Artiodactyla; Bovidae.
GUGCUCGCUUUGGCAGUACAUACACUAAAAUUGGAAUGAAAUAGAGAUGAUUAGCACAUCCCCUGUGCAAAGCCACACACAAAUUUGUGAAGUGUUCCAUAGUUUU